Molecule: ribosomal RNA, 381 nt
Filed under: uncultured eukaryote
Lineage: Eukaryota
Description: SSU rRNA
Rfam family: Eukaryotic small subunit ribosomal RNA
Source: RNAcentral
AGCUCCAAUAGCGUAUAUUAAAGUUGUUGCGGUUAAAAAGCUCGUAGUUGGAUUUCUGUCGAGUUCGGUCGGUCACUACUAUGUAGUUGCAUCUGAUUCGGGCUUGGCAUCCUCCUGGGGAUGGUUUCUGUGCUUGAUUGCAUGGGGCUAGAUUCAGGACUUUUACUUUGAGGAAAUUAGAGUGUUCACGGCAAGCUAUCGCUUUGAAUAUAUUAGCAUGGAAUAAUAAUAUAGGGCGUAAGUUCUAUUUUGUUGGUUUCUAGGACAUACGCAAUGAUUAAUAGGGACAAUUGGGGGCAUUCGUAUUAACACGUCAGAGGUGGAAUUCUUAGAUUGUGUUACGACGAACUACUGCGAAAGCAUUUGCCAAGGAUGUUUUCA